Non-coding RNA from Camellia sinensis, 6196 nucleotides. Lineage: Eukaryota; Viridiplantae; Streptophyta; Magnoliopsida; Ericales; Theaceae. The record is from RefSeq and is a predicted model, not a curated record.
ACGUGUUAUUAUUCAAAAAUUAUGUCCUCACAGAAAGCAUUCCUAUGUUGUGGUCGGAGACUACUUGUCGUGGUCAGAUGUUGAAAACUUGUGCAGCGUCGACAUGAUUUUCCGGCAAGGAUGAUUUGAGGACGUAACCUUUCGAGCUUCUUGGACGUCCACAGUGUGUUGGCUGAUGGAUUUGACCUUGUUUACUAUCAAUUCAUGAGUUGCAAUUUUUUCUGCAGGAUAGUAGUCCGCUUGGAAUACUUCCUCGACGAUCAUUUUUUUCUCAUCAUCAAAAUCAUUGGUAAAUCCUCAUUCCUCUCCUUCAAUGAUCAUAAGGGAAAAGUUAUCUUCUAAUAUGAAGUAAAUGACCCACAAGCCGGGGCGGAACCAGGAGUAGACGAUUAGGGGGGCCAAAAAUAAGGUUUCAACAAAUCCAAAUUGUCGGGUCAAGAUAUGUUUAAACGAUUUAAAUAAUUAUUAAAAUUAAUAAAUCAUUAUUAAAAAUAAGUUAAUAAAAAAUGAGAACAUUCUAAGUAUGCUAUAGAAAUUUGAACAUCAGUGAUGAACCAGUAGAAAAAUACAAAGGACAAAUUACGACGACGGUCCUGUGUUUUGCUUCUCGUGUCAUUUUGGUCCUCAUGAUUUUAAUUGGCUCGAUUUUGACCAUAAAUUUAUGAUUUUGCCUUAAUUUGGUCCAAAUGAUUACUACUCUUAAUUUUUUUUUAUUUAUGAAAAUACACACAUAAAUGGCAUCUGCGUAUUUUUAAGGAAAAAAUAAUAAACUUAUUCAACUCAGUGAGUUAAUUUUAAUCAAUUCAGCGAUAAUUUUUUGUAAAAAAUACUAACGAUAUUAUCAAUUAUAUCAAUUUGACACAAAAUCUAAAAUUAAUGAUCAAAUUUGAAUCAAUUGAAAAUGUAGGGACCAAAUUAGAUAAGAGGCAAAAUAUACAGACUAGUGGCGUAAUUCGCCCAAAUACAAAUAAUAAGUAAUGUCACAUAAUUUACAUUAUAUAUGGAUAGUAUUAUAGUAAUAGAUUAUAGAUCACACUGUAUAAAAGGUACAUACCAUAUGCUAUUUUAAAACUACAUCAUAAUUAAUGAUUCGUAACAAAGCCGUAAUACUUCAUAACUUUUGUCAACACAAUAAUUUGUAACAUUAAUGUUCAUAACAUGGGUGAUGCUAUGGUACAUUUAGAUGUACCAUACAUUUAGUUAUGAACUUGUAUGAUUUUAUGUCAUAACCAACACCAUAUUAGUCAUAACUACUACCAUAUUAGUUUAUAACUUAAUUAUAUUCAGUUAUUUAUUUAUACUAUAUCACCUCAUAACUAAGUCAUAACUAAAUUAUUUAAAUAAUUUAACUCUCAAACAGGCAACCGGUCUAGCUGGUUACAAGGGGAACAAAAUUGAAUCAGUCGUGUUUGGCCCUCUUGUUGGCUCUUCUCCUCCCUCUUCUCUUCCCUCUUCUCUUCCGCCAUAGCCGAAGCUUCCGAGGACCACCAGCCUCGUCAGCGAUCCGGGCUUUAGCCAUAUCGACAUCUUCUUCACAAGCUCUCACUCUCUGGACGUCUCCACCAUGGGUUUGUGAGCAAAGACCCAGUCAUCGCCUUUUCCCUUCCCUUCUAGUCGAAUCGAAUUUUUCCGAGAACUCUUUUCCGUAGUUAAGGAUAUUGUAGAAAAAAAAAGUUAGCAAAGAACCAUGACCAACUGCAUACACUACAAAAGGCAGGGCAUUGAAUUUCAUUCCAUCUUAAUGCACCCAUGACCAUCAAGCAUUGCUGGGUGUUAUAUCUGGAAAGUUCUGUAUGUGCUGUCAAACUUUUGUUUGUCUCGUGGUCAUAUUAUAUUGAACAAGAUUUCUAUUUGUGCAAUUCAACUUAUUGCUCAUAAUGCCUUUUCUUCGUGGGUAGCUCUACUAGCAGAUCGAAAUUGUAGGAUAUCGUGUCACUGGAGCAGCUUUUUUACUGUGUCAAGUUUUCUUCAUAUGAUGUACAUUCUUAGCGCAAGAUCAUAAAAGAGGUAUCAUAACUUACUUAAAUCCAACCAACUAUGGCAUGCACAUUUGUUAAUCCUUCUAGAAGUUUUGCACUGUUGCCUUGGGUUCAAGAUGGAUUUUACGAGGAAUUGGUAUUAUGGUUAAAGUGCUUUUCUUUUUAUCUAUUUUCAUUCAUUUUUAAAUUUUAUUUAUUUAUAUUUUGCCUUAAAAAAUGUGGAUAUUUAUCUCAAAUUUUGGAUUCGAAUUUUUUACGCGUCACAUACUCCACAAAAUUGUUAGGUGCAUAUCACAUAGUGUAUCUAUUUCUUUUGAACUAUUCGGUUUUUUUUUUUCUUUUUCAGUGUUUAAAUUUUUGGAUUUUAGGUUUAUUUGUAUGAAAAUUUUGGUUAUAUUAUCCUGAUGUUUUACAUAUUUAGUUACUAAUUUUGGCUGCUUUGAAAAUUGCUGUUGGUUAAUUGAUGCUUUUACGUUUGUCUUGGUGUGUAGACUUGAUAACUGAAAUUAGUUUAUGCAAUAAAUUAUGGAUGAUGCAGACACUAAAUAGAAUUUUGAUCAGGAUUUUCAAACCAUUGGUUACCUGACCUUGGAUUUGGAUGAUUAGUGAUUGGAUGAUUAUGUGGUGUUAUAUUUUUUCAGUAAUUAGUGUUUUGAAACCUUUAGUUGCAACUUACAUCUCCUGUUUGGGUGAUUACUUUUAUAGCUGACCAUCCUAAUUGUUCUUUUUUACUAUGAUAUUUAUUCUAGCUUCUUUGGUUUGAUCUACACUAACCAAAAAGUUAGCAAAGAACCAUGACCAACUGCAUACACUAAAAAAUGCAGGGCAUUGAAUCUUUAAUCCAUCUUAAUGCACUCAUGACCAUCAAGCAUUGGUGGCUGUUAUAUCUGUAAAGUUCUGUAUGUGCUGUCAAACUUUUGUUUGUCUCUUGGUCAUAUUAUAUUGAACUAGAUUUCUAUUUGUGUAAUUUAACAUAUUGCUCAUAAUUUCUUUUCUUCGUAGGUAGCUCCACUAGCUGAUCGAAACAGUACAAUAUCGUGUAACUAGAGUAGCUUCUUACAGUGUCUACUUUUCUUCAUAUGAAGUGCUUUUUUAGCAUAGGAUGAUUAUGUGGUGGAUCUUCCUGGGAUUGCAAAGUUACGAUUCCCAUCAUUUAUAUUUUUUCAUUAAUUGGUGUUUUGAAACUAUUCACCAUUUUGGGUGAUUAUAUGGACUGUUGUCGCCUGCGAUGUAACAUAUUAUUCCACUGAUGGUAAAUGUUUAAUCUAUAAUUUCAAUAUUUAAUUUUGAUUAAAUUUUUAAUUCAAAUGUUAAGACUCAUGCCAUUAAUCAUGGGUCACUGGCACCACCGCUGGCAGCCGAUUGGCGACCACAGUUGCCGAACCCAAAUGAUCUUCAACUCUUUGCAAUGUCAGUGUUUCGAACCUCGAACAAUUUCUCCUUUUUGCUAUCACUGUUUUUGGUGAUGUUGCUUCUUGGCUACAUUUAAUGUCCUCAAGAAAUAAGAGUCUAUUGAGGGCUAGAAGUAACAGUGACAUAAUUUUUCAACCCUUCUUUAAUAAAUGAAUCUUUCAUAAGUUUUUAGAAAUUAAUUAUUCAAUAACAAACUUGUUUAGAAAAAAUGCAUUGGUUCAUGGUGUUCUACAUUUACUAGAUUCAGUGACUUUGUUUAGGGCGAGAGAGAAAGAAUUGGGUUUUUGCACUGUGGUGGUGCGUGGGGACCCACAUGGUUGUUGUCCUAGGUAAAAACUGAAGUGAUAGUAGAAGAAAUGGAAUAGAAAAGUUAUGGAAUUUUGGUAGUUAUGUUGCCUUAUUGACAUUACUGUUUUUGUUUAUGUACAAAAGUUUUUAUUUGAUUUCUUUUAUUUACUUGAAUUAUGAGAUAAGCUCUCUUUACUAACAUUUUUUUAAUUUAUAUUUCUGGUAAAAAAAUCCAGGAGUCGUUAAUAUUAACCACACCACUGUUUCUGCAAGAGAGUUGCAAUAUCUGUUUUUCUCCAGCUCAAAGCACAUGCACACCACACUGUUGUGUUUCUUUUUUGUAUCUAAAGGAUACAUUGUUGAGUUGACUGUAGUUGUUUUGUCUUUUUCUUGGUCACUCCUUUGGUUUUUCCUUUUGCUGGUUUUUUCUCGAACUGAGGCUUGCUGCAUUACUUCUGAGGUUUGCUUUCGUGUUCUUCUCUUGCUCUCUUUCAUCAAUUUUGGUGUUCUUCAAGUCAUUGGACUUUCUGUUCUUUCAAUGACAGGGUUCGCUUUCGAAUAUCGUUGGUUUUCUUUCUGCAGCUGAAUACUAUUCUGUUACUUUUCUAAGAUUUGUUUUUGUUUUCUUCUCUUGCUCUCUUUCAUUAAUUUCUAUUUUCUUACCAUUUUCAUUUUGUGUUUUCCUGGUGUUCUUUCUGCAUCUGAAGCUGAAGAGUGUUUUCGUUACCUGAAGAGUGAGAUUUAUUUUUGUGUUCUUCUCUUGCUCUCUCUAAUUAAUUUCUAUUUUCCUACCAUGUUCGUUUUAUGUUUUCCUGGUGUUCUUUCUGCAUCUGAAGCUGAAGAGUGUUUUCGUUACCUGAAGAGUGAGAUUUAUUUUUGUGUUCUUCUCUUGCUCUCUCUAAUUAAUUUCUAUUUUCCUACCAUGUUCGUUUUAUGUUUUCCUGGUGUUCUUUCUGCAUCUGAAGCUGAAGAGUGUUUUCGUUACCUGAAGAGUGAGAUUUAUUUUUGUGUUCUUCUCUUGCUCUCUCUAAUUAAUUUCUAUUUUCCUACCAUGUUCGUUUUAUGUUUUCCUGGUGUUCUUUCUGCAUCUGAAGCUGAAGAGUGUUUUCGUUACCUGAAGAGUGAGAUUUAUUUUUGUGUUCUUGUCUUGCUCUCUCUAAUUAAUUUCUAUUUUCUUACCAUGUUCGUUUUGUGUUUUCCUGGUGUUCUUUUGCAUCUGAAACUGAAGAGUGGUUUCGUUACUUUCUGAGGUUUGUUUGCAUUUUCUUCUCUUACUCCUGCGAUUGUUUCCCAUUUUGUUUUCUAACCUUUUUCUAUUACUUCGUUUUCUUUUAUUUUACAUGACAACUCAGCUCGUCUUUUGGUUUUGCUUUGAGUUUUGUUUCAUUUCAUUUUAUUUGUUACAUGUUUUUCUUUUUAAUUUAUUUUUCUGCAGAUUGGCUGGAUCUUGAAUGAGUAUCGAAUGACUUGAUCUCUUAACUAUGGCUGGUUCUUGAUUUUUUUGACUAUAACUUGGCUGGGGAUGGUUUUGUGACUGUAACAUGAUUUUGUUUGUUGAAUUGACAACUAUGAUACAAUAUAACUGGGACUACUGAUACACUUGUGGACGCAAGAAUAGCUGGCAUCAACAUUAUCUUUGGAAGAUAGGCAAGGGGAGUCCUACGAUUCUGUUUGUAAGUCAAAUGCUCAUUGAUGUUGUUCCAAACAAACUGAGUGCUUACUGUGCAAAAUGUGAGCUCUAUCUUUCAUGCAUUUUUCUUUCUUACUUUUAUAGCUGACCAUCCUUAUUGUUCUUUUUGACUAUGAUAUUUAUUCUAGCUUCUUGGGUUUGAUCUACACUAACUACCGUGCAACCUAAAUCAAACUUAUGUUGGGAUGAUACAAACUUAUUUUUUUCUAAAUUUGUGCUUUGGAAUAUAUUUAAAGCAUAUUGGUUUCUUUUUAUGUUUGAGGGUGCCUUUACCAAAGAGAUGUUCCCACAGGCUAUAGAAGAAAAAAAAAGUUAAGAAAGAACCAUGACCAACUGCAUACACUAAAAAAUGCAGGGCUUUGAAUCUUCAAUCCAUCUUAAUGCACUCAUGACCAUCAAGCAUUGGUGGCUGUUAUAUCUGUAAAGUUCUGUAUGUGCUGUCAAACUUUUGUUUGUCCCUUGGUCAUAUUAUAUUGAACAAGAUUUCUAUUUGUGUAAUUUAACAUAUUGCUCAUAAUUUCUUUUCUUCGUAGGUAGCUCUACUAGCUGAUCGAAAUAGUACAAUAUCGUGCUAUUGGAGUAGCUUCUUACGGUGUCUACUUUUCUUCAUAUGAAGUGCUUUUUUAGCAUAGGAUGAUUAUGUGGUGGAUCUUCCUGUGAUUGCAAAGUUACGAUUCUCAUCAUUUAUAUUUUUUCAUUAAUUGGUGUUUUGAAACUAUUCACCAUUUUGGGUGAUUAUAUGGACUGUUGUCGCCUGCGAUGUAACAUAUUAUUCCACUGAUGGUGAAUGUUUAAUCUAUAAUUUCAAUAUUUAAUUUUGAUUAAA